Molecule: small RNA, 1404 nt
Filed under: Histoplasma capsulatum var. duboisii H88
Lineage: Eukaryota; Fungi; Ascomycota; Eurotiomycetes; Onygenales; Ajellomycetaceae
Description: Histoplasma capsulatum H88 hypothetical RNA
Source: RNAcentral
CAUCCCACCCCCUUCAUCCCACCCCAAGACCCCAUCCCGUCACUAAUAUUUGGCUUUGCACAUGGCCAUAUAUCACCAAGCGUCGAAGUGCAGCGACCUCUUUGAUGAACUCGUUGCCCAUGAAAAUGGGCGUGUUGGUCUCUGCAGUGUAAUCCAGGAACGGUUUGAACGCUGGGCUUUCCACCAUGAUAUUUUCGCACCCAUAGUCUUAAGUCUCGAUGAGAAGCUCCGACAUCAUGCCGCAUCCUUCCAAAACUUUGUUGAGGCUCACCUGAUGUUCCUGUCAGACUGUAUAGCAAGACUGCUGAAUCGUAUCAACCGGACCAGCGAUGGCGGUACUCAUCCACAGACUGAAGUGAAUGAACAAGAACAGAAAUCUCUGAGGGACCUCAUCUCUGAGGAAGCCGAGGAAGUUAAAUGUGUAGUUAAGGGCGUCGAUGACCUUUACAGGCUAAAUUACUCGAUAACAUCAAGGUUAUCUCAGUGCAAGAUCAUCGAUAUGUUGGGAUUUGCUCACCAUCCUGAUUUCCUGACAUUCCAAGAAUUAUGCUGGGGUUCGGUCGUGAUACUGUAUCCAUAUAUUCACCGAGAACUAAGGGAUCGCCUAGGCGCGUCAAUGACUCGAAGGUAUGCUGCAACGUUCCGCCAGAAAUUUGCCCAACCGACGGUAGAGAGACUCCAAACGCAUCCCAACACGAUGACAGCUGAAGAUGGAGAACCCGAAGAAUCUAAUGAGGAUCGAGUGCCCAACAAAACUGAGAAGGCAAGAGGCAUUCAAGACUGGACCACCAUUUCUUCCCGAUCGGACUUCACUAGAGGUGGCUCCAAACAAGGCCAAGGAAUCUUGAAUGAUUCACCGAAGUUGGGCUCGAAAUUUCAGCAGACCUGGUCUGACCAAUUCCAUCAAGAGAAUUACCCCGAGCCUCCGAAAAGGAAUGCAGAUACCAUCACCUGUGAGUGGUGUUCGGCGGACCUUGCAGAAGAGAUUCUGAAACCAGGAUAUUGGAGACAACACGUCAAUGCAGACUUUAUGCCAUAUCCGUGCAUAGCAGAAGAAUGCACUGAGUCUCAUGCUCAGUUCGCUGAAUUUGCUGAUUGGUUUAAUCACAUGCAGAGCCAUGAAGAAAAUUGGCACAAAAAAAUUUACACAGUGACGUCCUGGACGUGUCCGGACUGCUUCCGCGACGGAGGAAAGUUCAUUAGUUCACAACACCUUCUCGUUCAUUUGCUCAAGUACCAUACCGAUGUCUAUCCUGUUGAAAUACUUAAAACAAUUUCUCGCUGCAGCUCUGAAGAACUGCCAAGAGCACAAGAUGAAUGCCUUUUAUGUGGUUACAAACUUGAGCAAACGGCCCCACCUAAACAUCUAUAUUCUGGAAAGCGUCGGAAAAGGCCGCCUCGUGA